RNAcentral lists this transfer RNA (69 nucleotides) under Margaritifera margaritifera (freshwater pearlshell mussel). RNAcentral's name for it is "tRNA-Phe". Lineage: Eukaryota; Metazoa; Mollusca; Bivalvia; Unionida; Margaritiferidae. The record is from RNAcentral.
GAGACAAGUAGCUUAACACCCUUUAAAGCAUAACACUGAAAACGUUAAGAUGAAAAUAAUCCAGCCUCA